Molecule: long non-coding RNA, 1316 nt
Organism: Anser brachyrhynchus (Pink-footed goose)
Lineage: Eukaryota; Metazoa; Chordata; Aves; Anseriformes; Anatidae
Source: Ensembl
GUUGUACUUUUGCAGCCAAAAGCUGAUCCAAGCCAAAAAUCUCAUACUAUGCUUUUCGAAUGUAUUUUUAAGUUACCAUUGCCCUGGAGAUAGCCAUUCUUUGUUGUUAUUUUCGAACACACAUGGUGAUCUCAGCUCUUGGCUCAAAGGUUUCUGCAUGCUUUUGUAAGCUCGUACACAAAGGCUUUUCUGCUUUAAAAUAGAUGCCCAAGGGACUGUGUCAUUGUCUCUGGAGGCUGGGCUAGAGAAAACCAGAUGCCUGCAGUGAGACUGACAUCCUGGCGAUGUGUGAAAUCUGGGUCCUCGCUCUUCUGGGAGGCUCUGGGGAGUGUUUCCUCACGAGCCACAGACCCUCUGGCCAGCUGCAGGAACAGGAAGGCAGCGCUGCAGUGUAUCAUAUCUGGAGAUUUUCCCAAAGAACAAGAAAGGCCAGAAAAGACAUCUCUAAGGUCAUGCCUAGUGAGGGGAAUAUAAAUACAUCCUUCAAGCUCAAGAUUAUCAGCAAGCCAAACAGCAGGGAAGGGCAAAGAAAAGAUAUGGUCUGCUUCAGUAUCAGGAAGAAACCAAGCUCACUUUCUCCCCUGAGAAGAUCUCAUGCAAUUCCUGAAUUCUGGUAUCACAAUUACUUAAAUCAUCACGGUGAAAAAAGAAUAAGAAUAACAAACAAGCUGUCAUCAUCUGUGUUUCAAAUCACUUAAUGUCCAUGCAUUAAUAACACACAUCAACCGGAUGCAGCCAAGGUCAGUAAAGAAAUCAGUCUGAGCUAAAUUCCUGUUGUGCUUUCAGCUUAGAGUCUGGUUCCUAAAUGCUGUCUGCAACACACAGGGACCCAAAACUUUGCUUCCAAAUGCAGCUUGAGAGUAGAUAUUCCAAACAGCUCUGGCUGGCAUAAUUCUUUUUUGCCACAGUACAAAACCUCAGUCCAGAGAGUACUGUGUAUACUGCACUAAGCCACUGCUGUGUUUGACCUAUUAAGUAAAAAACAUCACUCUGAAUCCAGAGUCUUGAGUGUUGUCUUCUCAACUGCACAGCCCAGGGCACAUACUGGGGUCACAUAUUCCUUCAGACUUUUUCUAUACAUUCAUUGUGAUAUCUUUUUGCUCUGUGGGGGCGGUGUGGGUGAGGCAGGUGGAGGCUUACUCCAAUAUGGGGGUACAGUGCUGCACCUGACAAGCAACAUGAAGCAUGCAUAGAUGUCCAGCAAACAGAAAGAGUGAAAGUAACACAGCUCAAAUCCAUCCUGGCUGUGAUCUGCAGUGACAGCUUUCUGUUAUGGAUUUGCAAUAAAUCAUUGCUGUUCCUGAUUUAUUAGUACA